Molecule: long non-coding RNA, 447 nt
Filed under: Homo sapiens (human)
Lineage: Eukaryota; Metazoa; Chordata; Mammalia; Primates; Hominidae
Description: HSALNT0331907
Source: RNAcentral
UUAACAAGAGAUACAAAGAAAUGUCAACCCCUAUCUUGUUUCUCUGAAACAGUUGUGUGUGGACGUCUCACUUAAAACUCCUUCAGCUCCCGUGUAAGCACAGGGAGAAGCUGGAAUGCCGGGGGCGGAGGAGCAGAAAGGUGAAAAUGAUCUGAGUCCUAAGUUUCACAUGCGUGAGCCCUGGAGAGCCUUAUCUCCUGACUUUUGUUUCAGGAGAUGGUCAAUUUCCCCUGAUGUUUGCUCCGUUGAAGUCUGUUUUACGGCAAAUCCAAGAAGCAUUCUCGUGUAGGAGUGUCAGAGCCACACGGAUGUUUACACCUGCGUCGGGGCUGUAGCCCUCAUGCCACAGCUGAUCGGCACAGAAGCGGAUGGAAGGGGAUGUCUGUGGCGUCACCCUCUUGAAGAUUGAUCAUUUUACUGCCUAGAUAAAAAGUGAGACAAACCACA